GCAUCACUGUGGAGGGGGGCGGGGGGCGGGCAGCAUCUUAGGACCAGCGGCGUUGGUGGCUCUUCUCCUUGGGGAUAACUCGUGAACUCGAGCAGUAGGAUCCCAGCAGGGAGAGAAAUCAGGAUAAAAAUGAGAACUAGAAUUUCAUUCCCAUCCGGGUCGAACGACCCACACGCAUAACUCCUUUCUGGGACACUCGCUCGCAUCUCAGCACCGGCAGGAAGGGCCGGGAGAGCGCGCAACUCCGCGUCUGAGCCUCGCGGUGGAGGCUGGCGGGUUGGCUCACACGGACGCAGGACACCGCCCUCCGGGACCCGGGUCGGAGCAAGCCAGCCUUGUUGCUGCGGGGACCACGCGGGAGAGACUUUUGACACAAGCCACGUUUGGUUUCAAAGAAAAGAGGGUACUUACCUGAAAUUUGCACUCCCAUGGCGGUGCAGGGCCCUCCGCUCAAAGCGGAGCUCCACCCGAAUUUGACAAGUGAAGUUGGUAGACUUGGGACCAUAAACUGGAAAACAAGAUAUGAAAGUAUGCUCCAAUCAAUCUUUACUGUUCAUAGAGGACAACCAUUUGGGAAAUUCACAGACCAUUGAACCAUGUCUCUGAAUUCCCAGUUCAGCACCUCUACUUUUAGAGAAGCGAAACACAACUCUGAAGAGGACACUUUGAAAGUGUAACAAAAUGACAUCCAGAGCUUAUCCAGAUGAGCAGAGAGCAACUGAAUUGCCUUCUGCUCCUUUGUUGAAGAAGAGAGAAAAUUCUUCAACCAGCUAGAAAUGGCACGAGCAGGCCAUCCCUUUCUGAGCAGCUGCUACCAAGUCAUGCAGAAGUUCACUGGAGAUUCCUGAUGAAAACACAAGACAAGCCGGACCCAUGGAUCCAUGAAACAGUCUCCCCUUGAUAUGAAUCAAAGGUCAUUGGAUAGGUUCCUUGUUAAAGUUGCACAAAAAGAAAAAGGUUCCAUUGAGCCAAUAGAUAGCAGUGAUUGUGCCAGUGAUAGUGAAAGUCAUCCUACACAAUAAACCUCCUCUCAUCUCCCUCACACCAGCCACAAGGGUUUUCAAAGGCUCAGCUUGGCAGUCCUGGGAAGAACACGGGUCCCCUCUGGGCCUCUUGGCGGCUCUCACAGGCCAGCAGAAAGAAACGGCCUUUGGCUGAUGCUGAUGGAGUUAGCGGAGGAGUAGAGAGGAGGCGCCUUCUGAAGCACAGCCUUCCAGUUACACAGCAAACCACCUUUGGAAUGUUCCUGAUGUUUCAUAUGCAUUACUUCAGGUAAACCUCAGAAAAGUCCCUACUAAGCACCAGACAACAGGAAAGAAUGUUACUAUUACCAGCACGGAAAAGAACAGCUACUUGACAGAAGAAACAACCCCAACCAUCCUCACUGUAAGAAGAGUGUUACUUCUCUGUAAGGAGCCGCCUCCCUGGCAGCUGCCGUUAUUACAGGUGCCUCGCCCUCACCCAAACUCCAAAGACAACCACAUAUUUGAGCACUAAUUAUUUGUGAGAGGCUGGAAAAGAGAGGAGAAUAAUGUGUCAUUUUUUAAUAGAGAGCUGCAGGGCUGCAUAGUAGCAAUGAGAAGACAAGGGGCUUGUCUUGGGUGACUGAACAAAUUCUAGGGCAGCCACGGCUGCACCCCUGGGGGCAGAAGAGUGAUGGUCACUGGGGGCCACUCGGGCAUCCCUGGCAUUACUGAUGGGAGAGGCAAUGGUGUGCAUUGGUGCGUGCACACACCAGGGCCCCGGGGAUACUGAGGCAAAGACUAGACAUAGGCCCUGGAGAGGUCAAAUGUUACAUUUGAUAGGAGCAAAUACUCUAGACGUGGAGAAAAGGGAUAACAGCAAAGAACGGCAGCUUAAAAAUGAUUUUUAAAGUCUAAUACAGGACUAGGGUGAAUUAGCGAACCAUGUAAGUGCCAGACGGGCUACUGGCUCCCACAGGAUAUCUCCCCAGGCAAUGGCUCACCUUGAAAAUGAAAGAAGCAGCAAGCCAAAAUACGUACAGAAGACUAACAGUCUGUUAUAUUUAUUUCAAAUAUUGAUUGAAAAAAAUCAAUUUAUAUUCUAUGUGCCAGACACUUAAUAUAUAUCAUCUCAAAUAAUCCUAUAGGAAUCCUGUAAGAUAGAUAUCAUCCCUAUUCUACAGCUAAAAAAAAAUUGUGGCAGAAAGGUUAAGUGACUCACCCAAUGUCACCCAACGAGUAUAUGCACAUUUCAGGCCUGACAGAGCUUCAUGACAAAGGACCUGAGCAUCUACUGGGAACAUUCUGAUUUUAUAAGUGCUUUUUACCAUAGACCAGGGAUCAGCAAACUCUUUCUCAGAGGGACAAAUGCUAAUGUCUCCUCUGUGCCAGUGGAAAUACACGUGAACGCCAGACGGAAAAGACUGACUCGCAGCACUUGAGUACUUUAUGUGCAGCAAAUCUAUGUUGUUACUUGUGACACCACAAGACCUGAGCUGAACUGUAACCCACUCUCAAGCAAGCAGACAAGUGGUGUUGCUGUGAUAGCUACUGCAGGAAGAUGAGGACCCUGGCUCAUCUUGUUGAGAGCAGCAGCUACGGGAGCAGAGCCCACGAGCUCUAGGAGGAAGGGACUGUGCUGGCUCAAUGUCCAGAGAGAGCAGGAGCUCCAAGACCUGUUGUCUAUAUUACUAUGGAUUACCUCCAUGGCUCCUGAUGAACUAGGGUGUGAAUGGCCUGGUCUGACAGUCAGAUUUUUCUAACUCUCAUGUUAUCAGGAUCAAAUGCUCCAUACCUGGACUGUCUGGUAAUCAGAAGCAUCGAUCCCUUUCACGGUAACCUCUCGGAAGACUCGUGGCUCCAGCUCCUCUUUGGUGAGGUCACAGUGAUAAAUGAUACCUAGAAGGAAGCGGAAGUCCUGAUUUAGUCCACAAGCUCACUGGCUGCAAGGGGGCAAGGGCACACAGCACAACUGGAUGCCAUGAAUCACAAGAGAGGAACAUGAGUUGGGGACCUGCUGCCAUGUGAGGGUCACCGUGCCAAGAGUGCUGAUUAGAACAGUCUGUGCAUGGGGUGUUCACUUUUCCUCACUGCCACCACACACAGUGUUUUGACGACCAUCAUCUGUCGUAUACAUUUUAGAAGAUUCCAUAGCAUUCCAUGAGUAUGAGAAGAGGUAAAAACUGUAAGAGUGAAAACUUAACAGGUCUUCCCUAUGCUGGGUCACUUAGGAAUGCAGGUCAAAAAAAGAUGGGGAACUUCAUGUAGGGCCACUUCACCUUGAGAGGUGAAUUAAGAUGGAAAACUCAAAUGACUGGCCCCAAGUCAACAAGCAGCCAGAAGCCUCUUGAUGGGAACUCUGGGGCUCCUGACACCAGACACCCACCUGUCCGUGCACACACACGUGGACAGCAGUCACGGACCAGAGAUGACCAGGUACCAUUUUAGAGCUACUUUAAAAAUUUUUAUUAUCCCAGGAAUUGUGCACAACACAAAUGAAUGAAUGUACACCAAGAAUGCCAGCUUAUUUAAACACUUAUUAAAAAUCCAUUUCCUGAAUUUAAUGCUAUUACACUUUAACACUUAAGAACUAAAUCAAAGAAACAAUAAGACGAGUUGUUACUAUUUGAAAACUGCAGUGGUUUAUGAAACAGAAUUAGUCAUCCAGAGUGGCUGGUGCGGAAACAGCCCUCCCACACGAUACAUUAAACACACACUGUCAGAUAGAUGAAAAAUCGAUUUAGCGAUCCCAAUACUUGCUGGAAAACUUGAAACUAAACGGUACUCCCACAGGGUACAUCUGAAAUGACUGAUCAGGUAUUAAAAUGGUGGCUCUCUUUCUUCUCAACUCCUCUGUGCAUGUAUUUCAGUAACAGAUGAGAAAGGAUACUCUGCACCCCCAGUGGCAAAGAGUAAUAGUUUACACUCAUUAACAGCAAGGCUGCUGAUCCCUAUGAAUGUCACUGCAAUUCUCAUGCUUACAGACAAAUUAUUUUAAGGUACUAUAAUUGGAGGUAUGAUGAAUAUUGACAGAGAGAAGAUACGUAACAUGACCCAAGUAUUGGCUUUCCUGGUUUAAGUCAUACUUGGGUAUUUAUUAAAAUACAUCUUCAUACAUACAGUACUUCCAAACUAUGCUCUGGGCAUACAUUCUAAUGUACCAGAUAUACUGAUUACUGUCCUUGCCUAGAGGAAUGUAAUCUUGAAGGCAAGGCUAUUUUCAGAUAUAUGUUAAUUUUUGAAUAGCUUCUUGAUCCGUACUUGCUUCCCUUCCUCAAAACACAUAAAAAAGUCCAAAUCCUUGAAAAAAAACCCCAAACAACCAAACAACUAACAAAAAUGGCUGCAGACCGAGCAUGUGCUGUUUGAGCACCUGCCUCACUCUGGUAUCGCUGCAACCUGUACUGCAGUGAAUGAGAAAGCACCUGGCAGCCAGGAUUCCCACCUCUGACAGUUGCUGGGCCAGUGACCUCAGACAAAUCACCAAAGUAUUAGAAUGCAAAUUCCUUUGUGAAAAACAAUAAAUAGGAAAUGUA
Molecule: long non-coding RNA, 4498 nt
Organism: Neofelis nebulosa (Clouded leopard)
Lineage: Eukaryota; Metazoa; Chordata; Mammalia; Carnivora; Felidae
Exons: 9
Source: RefSeq, a predicted model, not a curated record